UACAGAGGGGGCAAGCGUUGUUCGGAAUUACUGGGCGUAAAGGGCGCGUAGGCGGCCUGCUAAGUCGAACGUGAAAUCCCUGGGCUCAACCCAGGAACUGCGUCCGAUACUGGUUGGCUUGAAUCCGGGAGAGGGAUGUGGAAUUCCAGGCGUAGCGGUGAAAUGCGUAGAUAUCUGGAGGAACACCGGUGGCGAAGGCGACAUCCUGGACCGGUAUUGACGCUGAGGCGCGAAAGCCAGGGGAGCAAACGGG
Molecule: ribosomal RNA, 253 nt
Filed under: uncultured bacterium
Lineage: Bacteria
Description: partial 16S ribosomal RNA
Rfam family: Bacterial small subunit ribosomal RNA
Source: RNAcentral